This is a non-coding RNA of Coturnix japonica (Japanese quail), 447 nucleotides long. Lineage: Eukaryota; Metazoa; Chordata; Aves; Galliformes; Phasianidae. The record is from RefSeq and is a predicted model, not a curated record.
UCUGUGACACCUUCUGCAUCCAAGUUCCUGUGGCUCACAGACCAGAGUGUUUUUCUCUUCUCUGUACCAAAGGGAGAUUUCAACAGGAUCCCAGCACAGAGAGAAAACGCACCAGGAGUUGCUUGAGGAGACCCCCAUAAAAGAUGAGUUCUUGCUCUCUCCUUAUGUGAUGUUUUUCCAAAGCCCCAUGGAUGUUCAUGACAGGUGGCCUUGGCAAAGGAUUAGAACACCAGUUCUUUCUACAUAGAUAAACAGAAGGGCUUGAGAACAAAAAGCCUUUUGUUCAAAGUGUAUGUCUGAAACCAAGACUGACAAUAGCAGCUGAUGCGCUGAGGUUCACUACACGCUCAAGAUAAGCUCUUGCUCCUGCUCACAGGGAAGCUGUCAAGAAGAACCUCUAGGAUAUUAGGUGGCUGGAGAGAGUUUAAAGCCUUUGAACACUUACCA